This 697-nucleotide ribosomal RNA is filed under the name Sporothrix stenoceras. RNAcentral's name for it is "eukaryotic LSU rRNA". It matches the Rfam family "Eukaryotic large subunit ribosomal RNA", at positions 148 to 873 of the family's 3401-position model. Lineage: Eukaryota; Fungi; Ascomycota; Sordariomycetes; Ophiostomatales; Ophiostomataceae. The record is from RNAcentral.
AUUUGGAGAGGAUGCUUUUGGCGCGGCGCCGUCCGAGUUCCUUGGAACAGGACGCCACAGAGGGUGAGAGCCCCGUACGGACGGACGCCUAACCUUUACAAAGCUCCUUCGACGAGUCGAGUAGUUUGGGAAUGCUGCUCAAAAUGGGAGGUAAAUUUCUUCUAAAGCUAAAUACCGGCCAGAGACCGAUAGCGCACAAGUAGAGUGAUCGAAAGAUGAAAAGCACUUUGAAAAGAGGGUUAAAAAGUACGUGAAAUUGUUGAAAGGGAAGCGCCUGUGACCAGACUUGCGCCCCGUGGACCAUCCGGCGUUCUCGCCGGUGCACUCUGCGGGGCGCAGGCCAGCAUCGGUUCUCCUAGGGGGAUAAAGGCCGCGGGAACGUAGCUCCUUCGGGAGUGUUAUAGCCCGUGGUGGCAUGCCCCUGGGGGGACCGAGGACCGCGCUUCGGCAAGGAUGCUGGCGUAAUGGUCACCAGCGACCCGUCUUGAAACACGGACCAAGGAGUCAAGCAUUGGGGCGAGUGUAUGGGUGCCAAACCCGCACGCGAAAUGAAAGUAAACGCAGGUGAGAGCUUCGGCGCAUCAUCGACCGAUCCUGAUGUCUUCGGAUGGAUUUGAGUAAGAGCCUUACCGCUUGGACCCGAAAGAUGGUGAACUAUGCCUGAAUAGGGUGAAGCCAGAGGAAACUCUGGUGGAGG